This is a non-coding RNA of Myotis davidii, 411 nucleotides long. The record is from the annotation of a RefSeq genome assembly. Lineage: Eukaryota; Metazoa; Chordata; Mammalia; Chiroptera; Vespertilionidae.
AUGAGAUCAGUGACAGGAAUAACUAUUCUCCUAACUUUGGGUAUUAUGAGUGAUGCUAAGUCCACACAGCCAGGUGCAAUGGAGAGUACUGCAGGAGAAGCUGUGCACCUGCCCUGUGACCACUCCACAAUCAGUGGAAAUGAGUACAUACAUUGGUAUCGACAGAUUCCCCACCAGGGUCCAGAGUAUGUGAUUCAUGGCUUAAAAGACAACGUGACCAAAGGAACGUACUCUCUGAUCAUCGCAACAGACAGAAAGUCCAGUACCUUGAUCCUGCCCCAGGUUAGCCUGAGAGACUCGGGUGUGUACUACUGCAUCCUGAGAGACGCACAGUGGCACGCGUGGGGCUGCACCUGUGCAAUAUCUUUCUGGCGGAAGGAAAGCAGCAGCAGCAGCAGAAGCAGCAUCUAA